UCCACCUUCUGGGUGAGUGCCUGGGCUCAGAACAGGAACUUCCGCAGAGUUUGUGGCCAGGUGCGCUCCUAGGAGCUGGGCUGGUUGUGCCUCACAGUCAGCCUGCUGCCUUUAACAAAGAGCUGAUAACUUUGCCUUCCACCUGCGUGAGGCUUCUGGAAGCGUCUACCUGGGUGUUUCCUGGUCCUGCAGCCCCACGCGUGGCACGCUGCAUCCAUCCUAUGCCUGUGGCAGCACCUGCACAGAGCGGGUGCCUCAGAGGUGGACCCUGGAGGCUGCUCAGUCUUGGGAGGCGGACCUGGUGCACAAAGGGUGGUCCACUCUCAGAAGCAGAGGUUCUCAGGCUCCGGCCCAGUGGACCUGUGAGGCGGCCAGAAUCCAGCAUCCCCGCCAGAGCCUCCAGGAGCAGCAGGAGCCCCACAGCCGCCUGAGCAGGAAGACCCCGGUCUGUGUCCGCCUUGGCCGGCAAGAUGCCGCCUGUGUCCGCGGAGGUGAAGACCAGCCCGCUGCAGAAGGCGAACUUCUGCUCGCGCCUGUUUGUCUGGUGGCUAAACCCCUUGUUUAAAAUUGGUCACAAACGGAAAUUAGAACCAGAUGACAUGUACUCCGUGCUUCCAGAAGAUCACUCCCAGCGCCUUGGAGAAGAGCUGCAAGGGUACUGGGAUCAAGAAGUUAAGAGAGCCCAGAAGGACACACAGGGAGCCCUUCCUUAAUGAAAGCAAUCGUAAAGUGUUACUGGAAAUCCUAUUUAAUUUGGGGAAUGUUUACAUUUCUUGAGGAGGCUGAGGAGUGGCUGCUGGUGGCAAAGAUACUGUGGGCUGAGAGCAACCACUGA
RNA transcript from Capra hircus (goat), 835 nucleotides. It is a transcript of the gene named multidrug resistance-associated protein 4-like, with no coding region annotated. Lineage: Eukaryota; Metazoa; Chordata; Mammalia; Artiodactyla; Bovidae. The transcript is spliced from 4 exons. The record is from RefSeq and is a predicted model, not a curated record.